AACGAACGCUGGCGGCAUGCCUAACACAUGCAAGUCGAACGAGACCUUCGGGUCUAGUGGCGCACGGGUGCGUAACGCGUGGGAACCUGCCCUUAGGUUCGGAAUAACUCCCCGAAAGGGGUGCUAAUACCGGAUAAUGUCUUCGGACCAAAGAUUUAUCGCCUUUGGGUGGGCCCGCGUUGGAUUAGCUAGUUGGUAGGGUAAAAGCCUACCAAGGCGACGAUCCAUAGCUGGUCUGAGAGGAUGAUCAGCCACACUGGGACUGAGACACGGCCCAGACUCCUACGGGAGGCAGCAGUGGGGAAUAUUGGACAAGGGGCGAAAGCCUGAUCCAGCAAUGCCGCGUGAGUGAUGAAGGCCUUAGGGUUGUAAAGCUCUUUUACCCGGGAUGAUAAUGACAGUACCGGGAGAAUAAGCUCCGGCUAACUCCGUG
Molecule: ribosomal RNA, 433 nt
Filed under: uncultured bacterium
Lineage: Bacteria
Description: partial 16S ribosomal RNA
Rfam family: Bacterial small subunit ribosomal RNA
Source: RNAcentral